AUGCUGCUGUCAGUACGAUCUGUAAUGAGCACUAAGGCAAGUGCAGAGAAAUGUGACGCUGUACUCCACAAAAGCAGUAUUUGCAAUUUUGCACUGACUGGAAUUUUUAGCAGUACUCAAGCUCGGCUACAGCGACUUGGCAUCAGGUAUGAAGCAGUCAUUUGCUUUCAAGCUCGGCUACAAGGAGGAUCUAUCUACUUCGGGAAACAAAUAUGCCAUGACGGGUCUGCACUCUUUGGUGCUUUUUAUGCACCUGUUGAGGAAAUGUGUCAGUUUGGUGAGGACCGUGUUCAGGCUGCACUCUUCUGUACAGUGUUUUUAAAUUCACAAUAA
RNAcentral lists this ribosomal RNA (333 nucleotides) under Triticum aestivum (bread wheat). RNAcentral describes it as "partial small subunit ribosomal RNA". Lineage: Eukaryota; Viridiplantae; Streptophyta; Magnoliopsida; Poales; Poaceae. The record is from RNAcentral.